Molecule: ribosomal RNA, 253 nt
Filed under: uncultured bacterium
Lineage: Bacteria
Description: partial 16S ribosomal RNA
Rfam family: Bacterial small subunit ribosomal RNA
Source: RNAcentral
UACGGAGGGCGCAAGCGUUUUUCGGAAUUACUGGGCGUAAAGCGCGUGUAGGUGGCCUGAAAAGUCGGGUGUGAAAUCCCGGAGCUCAACUCCGGAACUGCAUCCGAUACUGCCAGGCUCGAGUCUCGGAGAGGAUGGCGGAAUUUCCGGUGUAGAGGUGAAAUUCGUAGAUAUCGGAAGGAACACCAGUGGCGAAGGCGGCCGUCUGGACGAUGACUGACACUGAGACGCGAAAGCGUGGGGAGCAAACAGG